This 1263-nucleotide long non-coding RNA is filed under the name Homo sapiens (human). RNAcentral's name for it is "uncharacterized LOC105375851, transcript variant 5 (LOC105375851)". Lineage: Eukaryota; Metazoa; Chordata; Mammalia; Primates; Hominidae. The record is from RNAcentral.
CCUGUUCUAACUGGCCAGCCGCCAUCUUGCAACAUGGAGGAUAGAUUGCAAGUGGAGCCAAGAACAAAAUACAGCUGACUCUGAACAAAUCCUUUUCGUGACUUCUGGAUAAAGGACAACUCAAGCCCCUCGUUCCAGUGGCAGUGGAUUGAUGUGCAGCUUCCUAUGUGAAGGCAGAGCACACGUCUGUCUCUGGAGCUUCCUAGAAUUUCUAACUUGGAAUCACUAAGGACAAAAACUCCUAUAUUCCUGAAGCCCUACAAGCUGGAACUGGACAACUCGAUGUAAAUUUCAGGAGACAACCCCCAUGCCUGAUGUGUGGGCCACUAAGGGAGUUUACCAAAACAUCCAAUGCCAUAACCAGAGACAUUCAAACUAAACCAAGAAAAUGUUUCAAGCUCAAAUCCAGAAAUCUUGUCAACUAACUGCCCUCUGAACUCAGAGACUGAGUUUAUAAUUUGUCCUAAGCCAUUAACCUUUGUUAAUAGCUUUUUUUUGUUUUGUUUAUUUUUUCUGGUUUGGUUCAUGAGGGCAUUUGUUAAGAAGCAUACUCUAAUCCCUUGGUAUAUCCUCCUGAUAGUUCCCAUUGUAAUCUCCCAGCUGCAUUCUCUCAAGGGUUUUGAAGGUGUAUUUGCAGCGAUUAGUGGUAUACUAGGUGGCCUCACUGUGAUUACUGCAACAACUGCAAGAUGACCAAAGGAAUGUGUCUUCCACAAGGCUGACAUUGUGACUUAUGAGUUUCAUGCUAAGACAAAGACAACCCUGCCAUGAUGAUGACUGACAGUAGUGCUGAUGCCAUAAAUUUUUAUCAAAUCCCUCAGUACAGGUUGAGUCUGAUCAAAAGGGGAAAGCUGUUCAGUAAAAUAUGUGGGAGGUCAUUGUUUUGGAUUAAGCUCCUGCACUAGGCCCCAACAGACCAGAUCAAACCAGAAUGGAGUCACUCAUGCCAGAUGCCACAUUGUCAAACUGAAUGUAAAAAUAGGUCACUUGUUCAAAAAAAAAAGGAGAUUCACAGUAACCAAUUGAAAGGGGCCCAGUCAACCUAAGCUCACAUGAUAAGGAAGUCUCCUCUAGUUUAACGUAUGCAAGGAAAGUAGCUUUGAAAUCACCAGUCCACUUUUUGUUUCUUCUUUCUGCUUUCUUCAGUCUUUUCCAUUAUAAAGCCCACACAUCUGCUCAGCUCAGUAGGGCACCUUUCUAUUUCAUAGAUGGAAUGUCACUUGAUUCAUGAAUCAUUAAUAAAAGCCAAUUUGAUGUUUAAAA